Molecule: transfer RNA, 72 nt
Filed under: Novosphingobium sp. MBES04
Lineage: Bacteria; Pseudomonadati; Pseudomonadota; Alphaproteobacteria; Sphingomonadales; Sphingomonadaceae
Description: tRNA-Val
Rfam family: tRNA
About the family: Transfer RNA (tRNA) molecules are approximately 80 nucleotides in length. Their secondary structure includes four short double-helical elements and three loops (D, anti-codon, and T loops).
Source: RNAcentral
CGGGCGCGUAGCUCAGCGGUAGAGCACACCCUUCACACGGGUGGGGUCACAGGUUCAAUCCCUGUCGCGCCC